RNAcentral lists this long non-coding RNA (268 nucleotides) under Homo sapiens (human). RNAcentral describes it as "HSALNT0124111". Lineage: Eukaryota; Metazoa; Chordata; Mammalia; Primates; Hominidae. The record is from RNAcentral.
GCAGGAGGAUACGGUACUGGAGUGUAAACCAGAGAGUGCUUUCCCUGUUCCCAAGAAUGUGUCUAUACCUAGGACUGAAGGUGUCCUACAACGUCACAAGCAUGGAGACUAAAAGGAAAGAGUGUUGUGGGUUGCCUUAGCUUAUAGAUGUUGAGAUAUCAAGAGGCAGGAACUGGAGUUAGCAGAGCAAAUGGAGCCCCUACACCCCUGUGAGUUCACACACUGCAGCACUUAAGUGAGACAUGAAGACAUUUCAUGGAGUGAUAAC